Molecule: ribosomal RNA, 375 nt
Filed under: uncultured bacterium
Lineage: Bacteria
Description: bacterial SSU rRNA
Rfam family: Bacterial small subunit ribosomal RNA
Source: RNAcentral
UAAUACGUAGGCAGCAAGCGUUGUUCGGAGUUACUGGGCGUAAAGAGUGUGUAGGCGGUUCUCUAAGUUCGGUGUGAAAUCUCCCGGCUCAACUGGGAGGGUGCGCCGAAGACUGGAGGGCUUGAGUGCGGGAGAGGAAAGCGGAAUUCCUGGUGUAGCGGUGAAAUGCGUAGAUAUCAGGAGGAACACCUGCGGUGUAGACGGCUUUCUGGACCGUAACUGACGCUGAGACACGAAAGCGUGGGUAGCAAACAGGAUUAGAUACCCUGGUAGUCCACGCCCUAAACGAUGCAUACUUGGUGUGGGCAGUUCAUUCUGUCCGUGCCGGAGCUAACGCGUUAAGUAUGCCGCCUGGGGAGUACGGUCGCAAGGCUG